RNAcentral lists this ribosomal RNA (384 nucleotides) under Triticum aestivum (bread wheat). RNAcentral's name for it is "partial small subunit ribosomal RNA". The record is from RNAcentral. Lineage: Eukaryota; Viridiplantae; Streptophyta; Magnoliopsida; Poales; Poaceae.
AUGGCCGCCCGCAAUUCAUCUGCGCCCGCCGCACACCCGCUCCACCAGGAUUCCGUCGCCGCCCCCAACUCGCCCCUGCUCGCCGCCGACCCGCUCCACCAGGCUGCCGUGGCCAACCCCAACUCUCCCGUGCUCGCCGCCAACCCGGUCCACCAGGCCAGCGCGGCGGCGUCGUCGGGGAUGUACGGCGCUCCUGGGGCCCUCCCAACCGAGCAAGGGUCUUUGACGGUGCUGCCGCCGCCACAAGGCGCGCCUGUGAUGAAGACGGUCCAGGGCGUGAACACGGUGGUGCCGAUGCCCCUGUGGGAGCUGGUCAUGACCGUGCCCCUACAAGGCAGACCUGUGAUGGCACCUCUGCCUUUCCCCGCAGUCCUCCAUCCAUGA